AUACGGAGGUUGCAAGCGUUAAUCGGAAUUACUGUGCGUAAAGCGUACGUAGGCGGUUAUUUAAGUCAGAUGUGAAAGCCCCGGGCUUAACUUGGGAACUGCAUUUGAAACUGGGUAACUAGAGUUUAGUAGAGGGGAGUGGAAUUUCAGGUGUAGCGGUGAAAUGCGUAGAGAUCUGAAGGAACACCAGUGGAGAAGGCGACUCCCUGGACUAAAACUGACGCUGAGGUACGAAAGCGUGGGUAGCAAACAGGAUUAGAUACCCCGGUAGUCC
RNAcentral lists this ribosomal RNA (274 nucleotides) under uncultured bacterium. RNAcentral describes it as "partial 16S ribosomal RNA". It matches the Rfam family "Bacterial small subunit ribosomal RNA", at positions 523 to 796 of the family's 1533-position model. The record is from RNAcentral.